GGAUUGCUAACAACAAGAUGGAUUCUAAGAGGUAGUGGGCAGGUAGUGGAUGGUGAUAAUGGGGUCAUGUAUACCCACAAGGAUGUAACUCAUAUUCAAGCAAAUGGUUUUAUACCUCCCUCACUCCAUAAAGAAGAAAAUGGAGGCAUUGGCAUUCAUUGAUGAUGAUGCCUUUAUCAUUAGCUGUUGUCUCUCUCAUCUUGUGAUGUUUCCAAGUCCAUCUCAGAGUCACUGAUGCUUCUUUUUAUUAGUAUACGUAAUCUUUCCUUUGGUAGUAUCCGUUGACUGAAAUGUUGUGGGCCUCAUCCUGAGUAUUGUCUACAAAGGAUCAGACCCAUUUUGUGGUGUGGAAAAAUGGCUUUCUAUUGUAAUAAUCU
This 377-nucleotide unclassified non-coding RNA is filed under the name Hevea brasiliensis (rubber tree). Lineage: Eukaryota; Viridiplantae; Streptophyta; Magnoliopsida; Malpighiales; Euphorbiaceae. The record is from RNAcentral.